Molecule: ribosomal RNA, 253 nt
Filed under: uncultured bacterium
Lineage: Bacteria
Description: partial 16S ribosomal RNA
Rfam family: Bacterial small subunit ribosomal RNA
Source: RNAcentral
UACGUAGGGACCAAGCGUUGUUCGGAUUUACUGGGCGUAAAGGGCGCGUAGGCGGUUUUCUAAGUUUGGUGUGAAAUCUCCCGGCUCAACUGGGAGGGUGCGCCGAAGACUGGAAGGCUUGAGUAUGGGAGAGGUAAGCGGAAUUCCUGGUGUAGCGGUGAAAUGCGUAGAUAUCAGGAGGAACACCUGCGGUGUAGACGGCUUACUGGACCAUAACUGACGCUGAGGCACGAAAGCGUGGGUAGCAAACAGG